CGUAGACUCCUACGGGAGGCAGCAGUGGGGAAUAUUGCACAAUGGGCGCAAGCCUGAUGCAGCCAUGCCGCGUGUGUGAAGAAGGCCUUCGGGUUGUAAAGCACUUUCAGUUGUGAGGAAAGGUUAGUCGCUAAUAUCGGCUAGCUGUGACGUUGACGUAACAGAAGAAAGCACCGGCUAACUCCGUGCCAGCAGCCGCGGUAAUACGGAGGGUGCGAGCGUUAAUCGGAAUUACUGGGCGUAAAGCGCGUGUAGGUGGCUUGUUAAGCCAGAUGUGAAAGCCCCGGGCUCAACCUGGGAACUGCAUUUGGAACUGGCAGGCUAGAGUUUUGUAGAGGGUGGUAGAAUUUCAGGUGUAGCGGUGAAAUGCGUAGAGAUCUGAAGGAAUACCGGUGGCGAAGGCGACCACCUGGCCAAUAACUGACACUGAGACGCGAAGGCGUGGGUAGCAAACGGGAUUAGAUACCCUGGUAG
This 474-nucleotide ribosomal RNA is filed under the name uncultured bacterium. RNAcentral's name for it is "bacterial SSU rRNA". It matches the Rfam family "Bacterial small subunit ribosomal RNA", at positions 330 to 793 of the family's 1533-position model. The record is from RNAcentral.